AGAAAGACUCUUAUUUUGACGAGCCUCCUCUUCCUGCUUUGGCUUCUGGUGUCCGCUUCAGAUGUGUGCUUGGAUUUGUGAUGGAUGUGAUGCUCCAGAAUCGCAGCGGUGAUGUUUGAGGAUCCGGAAGAUGAUGUGCAGUUCGUGUCUGAGGCUCCUCUCAGACCAGUGCUGGAAUGCAUUGACCUGCUGAGUGACGGAGAUGAUGAAGACGAUUUACCUGCUGCAAACACGAUCGAGCAGCAGGUGGACCGCCAGAGAGCUCAUGCCGUCUCCACACUGGACAGACUGGCUCAGCAGGUCGCGGUGGAGAAACAGGAGAGGGCCGAAAAGAGGAAAGCCUUCAAGGAGAAGAUGAUUUCGCUGCAGGCACAAGGACGCCGCGAGCUGUCGGUCAGCCAUGAUAAUAGUGCAAGCGGCGAUGCCAAACGAUGUGUGGAUAUUUGGCUAAAAAUGCCAGGACUGCAGCCGGGCUCCAUUUAUUCAGGCUCUCUGUGGAAGCGCAGAUCGGCUCCUCCUGCGGUGAGAUUUUCUCCUCAGAGCUGUCCGGUCAUCAACUGCGGACGAGUCUACGACAAUAUUCCUCUGCUUCAGGGACAUCUCAAAAGGUUUGAUCAUUCACCCUGUGACCCCACCAUCACCCUGAAAGGCACCGCACCAUCCAUCUAUGCCUGUUUGGCCUGUGGAGAACACUUCUGCUCCCAGGAGACAUGGAAACAACACAUGCAGUCCAAGCUGUCAUCGGAUGGUCACCGUCGCUCUCAGAUGUAUCAGAUGAUCGUGGGCUUCGCCUGUCCCUCCUGCUACUUCCUCUUCAACAGCAAAGACGAGUGCUGUAAACACAUGAACGCAAGAAAACACAACCGUCAAGUCAUUUCUCUUACCGAAGAGAAAGCAUCAGCAGUGCCUGUUCCUGUGCCGCGCUUCGCUAAACAGCGUCUAAUCGCUCUCUGUAAAGACAUCGGCUUCAGCGUGCGAUGCACAGUCUGCUCUCAGCGGCUCAACUCGCACAUGGAGGCCACCGCACACUUCAACGUGCACUGCAGAGACGGCUGCGCUAUCGCUACCGCAGAUCAAACCGUUGCAGACAUGAUGAAAAAGAUGGCGGUCGUCGGUCACUGCAUUUCCUGUCCUGAAGUGUUUCUGAGUUUGGAUCAAAUGCAGGAGCACAAAGAGCGAAUGAAACACGACGUGGAGAACAUCACACUCCUAGAGCGCGCACUUUUGCACUACAGCAACCACUGCGAAACCAGAACCAAUCAGAAGAGAGCGUCAAACGAAGACCAUUCAGCCAAACGAAAGAGAGCUGAAGACUCGGAUUCGCAAGUCAAACGAGAAAGAAAGCAUUCGAAUGUGGCUUGGUUUUGCGAGUGCGGCCUUCGCUUCGUUGAAGAAAACCACGCAAAGAGACACCAGCAAGCCGCCAAUCAGAUCUUUCACAAAUGUGCAGUGUGCGGGAAACUAACCGGCGAAUCCUCCAUCGCGCGCUUGCAUAUGAGUCGUUUCCAUGGUGGCGCGCAUCUAUCCAACUUCCUGUUUUACUGUAGGAAGUGCAAAGUGGAAAUGCCCAGGAUGGAGGAUAUAAUGGCGCACGUUAGCGCUAGCCAUCAAGGACACAACUACUAUGAAGAACGAGAAGAUAGCGGCAGCGUAAUUGAUCAAAUAUCGGCAAAACCAUCAACCAGCAAAGAAUGUGAACCAAUCAGAAGCGUCUCCCCAAAAAAGACAGAGUCGUGGCUUUGUCGAAUGUGCGAGGAUUUGUUUGAUUCGGAGAAGUUGGUACGAAAGCAUUGCGGAGAUUUGAGCAGCCAUAGUUUCCAGAGGUUUGCAUGCGGUCACUGUCCGCAGAAGUUCUUCAAGGACUCGACUCUACGACGACAUUGCGCUAACGAGCAUAACGGUGAUGUAGCGUUGCGCUACUUUUGUGGGCUUUGCGAUAGCAUGCUGUUCGAUACCGAAAACGAGUUCCAGGUGCACUACGACAAUCUGCACAGCCAAGAUUACUACCGUUUGGAAACAUCGACAAAUCAUUCGCAAAAUGCACCGGAAGUCAUUGUUAAUAAUAGUAACACGAGCGAUUCCCAAACAUGUCUUUGCAUGGGAUCAAAGAAAUCCAGAGAGGAACGGAAGCCUGUUUAUACAAACUGCAUGAAGCAGUUGGCUGCUGAAAACAAAUGCAGAUACCGAUGUCGCAAUUGCGCUAAAAGCGCUCAGAGCUACGCUGAGAUGAAGACGCACAUCUUGUUGAAACACAAAGGAAAUGGGAAGAGUUUUGAUGUCGUGUGCAUGAUCUGCUCUCAGAGUCACAAAGAUGUUCCCAGUUUUCAUGCACACCAUCAUAUACAUCACUGCCAGGCAGAACCGUGCACUUAUUCCCGACCCGAUGCAGAGGAGAAACGAGCCUCCGGUGUGAACGAUGCAGAGGAGAAACGAGCCUCCGGUGUGAUCAACGCAGAGGAGAAACGAGCCUCCGGUGUGAUCAACGCAGAGGAGAAACGAGUUUCCAGUGUGAUGAACGCAGAGGAGAAACGAGCCUCCAGUGUGAUGAACGCAGAGGAGAAACGAGCCUCUAGUGUGAUGAACGCAGAGGAGAAACGAGCCUCUAGUGUGAUCAACGCAGAGGAGAUCUUCCCUCAGAGUAACGUUGAAGAGGCUGAAGAUGUAAAUAAUGCCAUUGCCUCAGGUGUUCUCGAUGUUAAAAAAGAGACCACCGUUUCACAAGACGAUGGUGAAGGAGAUGACGCUAAAUUUGACGAGGACAUGAAGCAGGCUGUGGCCUUGAGUCUGAAGGAGGCCAGGAAAACUGCAGAUCUGAGAACGGUGUAGAGGCUGUACUGAGAGUUUCUGUGAGCGUCUCACUUCAUGCAUGAGUCAAUCUGAGCUUUAUUUUGCUAGUUUGUGUAGCAGAAAGAAGAUUAGUGGUGUUGAAUUGGAAGAAGCCCUGAGAAGAAGCUUGGAGGAAUUCUGACAACAUUAUGAUUUAGAUUCAAGGUGUUUUGUUUGUUCGUUUAGUCCGUGCACUGUAUUCACGAAACAUUUUAUUUGUUGUUCUUCAAAGUUAAAUAAAGCAGAGUAACUCAGACCUGU
Non-coding RNA from Danio rerio (zebrafish), 3087 nucleotides. The record is from RefSeq and is a predicted model, not a curated record. Lineage: Eukaryota; Metazoa; Chordata; Actinopteri; Cypriniformes; Danionidae.